Colossoma macropomum (tambaqui) is the source of this 1128-nucleotide long non-coding RNA. RefSeq lists it as uncharacterized. The record is from RefSeq and is a predicted model, not a curated record. Lineage: Eukaryota; Metazoa; Chordata; Actinopteri; Characiformes; Serrasalmidae. The transcript is spliced from 3 exons.
GUGUAAACCUGUAUAUAUAGAAGGACGAGCUGAAGAAGGUGAGAGAGUCGGGAACCAGCACUCUUUGGUGAGACUUCUGCGUUGGUCCCAGCAGUGACAGAUUCCGUUCCUCAUCACGUCCCUCUUCCCGAUUUCCAUCAUGAACCUCCUCACUCCGGUGCUGUUGCUGCUGACUCUCUCUGGAUGUUCCAGUAAAGUCGUACAUGAUUUUACCCAGACAUGCCCUGAAUUCUUUGCUAAUCCAGGAGGAACUCGGUCUCCUCCAACUGUAUUUCCAGGAGAUAAUUACAAACAAAUCUGCCAAAAACGAUAUAACAAAUAUGAAUAUGCAACACUGUAUGACACAGCAAACAGGAUCCCUGUCUACUCAGCUUACAAGUUUGAAGGCAUAAUGGGUUGUAGAAGACUAAAGAAGUGGUACAUUGAACCUCAGCUUGACAACAGUGCUGCAGGUGGAGAAAUGGCACCUGAUCGCAGAAUACCACCAUUACCAAAUCAAGCUCUCAAUGCAGACUACAGUGGGACACGCAGUCACGGAUAUGAAAAAGGACACCUGGCUCCAGUUUACCACGCCAGGUCGCAGAGCUGCUCCGAUGCCACCUUCAUCCUCACCAACGCCGCUCCACAACACUACAGCUUUAACCGUGGACAAUGGGAGAGGACAGAGAGAAAAGUGGCCAAAUAUCUGGAGCAGACGUGCUCACCAAAUAAUUAUACUUUUAUUGUGACUGGGGUGGUUCCAGGCCCUAAUACUCUAAAUAACAGAGUUUCGUAUCCCCAGUCACUUCUGGACCGCUUACUGCUGUCUAGACAACAAUGGGCGAGUGAAAGCUGCAGGUGGUUUCUUAGGAAAGAACGUAAAUGUCCAGGUGCGGUAUAUAACAGUCAGUAAGCUAGAAGGAUGUCUGACUACCCUGUAUGGUAAAGGGCCUUUCCAUGUAUUUGGUGGUAACUGCAAUUUAUCAUUCGUAUCAGUCUCACGAAAAAGACCAAGAAAUUGAUUCAUUUUUGCUUUUUGUACUUUUAAUCAAUCGAUUUCUGUCAAUGAAUUUUCACAAAUCACUUUGUAAAAUGUUCAUUGUUAAGAUUUUUUCUUUCAGACAUCAAUAAAGCAAGUGUGUAAAGUCA